AGUGAACGCUGGCGGUAGGCCUAACACAUGCAAGUCGAACGGCAGCACAGUAAGAGCUUGCUCUUACGGGUGGCGAGUGGCGGACGGGUGAGGAAUACAUCGGAAUCUACUUUUUCGUGGGGGAUAACGUAGGGAAACUUACGCUAAUACCGCAUACGACCUACGGGUGAAAGCAGGGGAUCUUCUGACCUUGCGCGAUUGAAUGAGCCGAUGUCGGAUUAGCUAGUUGGCGGGGUAAAGGCCCACCAAGGCGGCGAUCCGUAGCUGGUCUGAGAGGAUGGUCGGCCACACUGGAACUGAGACACGGACCAGACUCCUACGGGAGGCAGCAGUGGGGAAUAUUAGACAGUGGGCGCAAGCCUGACCCAGCCAUACCGCGUGGGUGAAGAAGGCCUUCGGGUUGUAAAGCCCUUUUGUGGGGAAAGAAAAGCAGCAGGUUAAUACCCCGCUGUUCUGACGGUACCCAAAGAAUAAGCACCGGCUAACUUCGUG
RNAcentral lists this ribosomal RNA (492 nucleotides) under uncultured bacterium. RNAcentral's name for it is "partial 16S ribosomal RNA". It matches the Rfam family "Bacterial small subunit ribosomal RNA", at positions 29 to 507 of the family's 1533-position model. The record is from RNAcentral.